GACGAACGCUGGCGGCGUGCUUAACACAUGCAAGUCGAACGGAAAGGCCCUGCUUUUGUGGGGUGCUCGAGUGGCGAACGGGUGAGUAACACGUGAGUAACCUGCCCUUGACUUUGGGAUAACUUCAGGAAACUGGGGCUAAUACCGGAUAGGAGCUCCUGCUGCAUGGUGGGGGUUGGAAAGUUUCGGCGGUUGGGGAUGGACUCGCGGCUUAUCAGCUUGUUGGUGGGGUAGUGGCUUACCAAGGCUUGGACGGGUAGCCGGCCUGAGAGGGUGACCGGCCCCAUAGGCCUAAGGGAGGGAGCAGAGGGCAAUGGGGGGCAAUGGGGGGAAACAUUAUCCAGCUGGGCGGAGUGCAGGAUGAAGACCUCCGGGUUGGGAAGUGCGUUUGUGGGGUAGGAAACGCCUUCGGCUGAUACGGAGGGGGCGUGACGGUAACGGAAGAAGAAGCACCGGCUAACUACGUG
This 467-nucleotide ribosomal RNA is filed under the name uncultured bacterium. RNAcentral's name for it is "partial 16S ribosomal RNA". It matches the Rfam family "Bacterial small subunit ribosomal RNA", at positions 28 to 507 of the family's 1533-position model. The record is from RNAcentral.